UAAGGAAUAUUGGACAAUGGACGCAAGUCUGAUCCAGCCAUGCCGCGUGAAGGAUUAAGGUCCUCUGGAUUGUAAACUUCUUUUAUAAGGGACGAAAAAAGGCUUUUCUAAGUCGUCUGACGGUACCUUAUGAAUAAGCACCGGCUAACUCCGUGCCAGCAGCCGCGGUAAUACGGAGGGUGCAAGCGUUAUCCGGAUUCACUGGGUUUAAAGGGUGCGUAGGCGGGCAGGUAAGUCAGUGGUGAAAUCCUAGAGCUUAACUCUAGAACUGCCAUUGAUACUAUCUGUCUUGAAUAUUGUGGAGGUAAGCGGAAUAUGUCAUGUAGCGGUGAAAUGCUUAGAUAUGACAUAGAACACCUAUUGCGAAGGCAGCUUACUACGCAUAUAUUGACGCUGAGGC
Molecule: ribosomal RNA, 400 nt
Filed under: uncultured bacterium
Lineage: Bacteria
Description: bacterial SSU rRNA
Rfam family: Bacterial small subunit ribosomal RNA
Source: RNAcentral